RNAcentral lists this ribosomal RNA (465 nucleotides) under Triticum aestivum (bread wheat). RNAcentral describes it as "partial small subunit ribosomal RNA". Lineage: Eukaryota; Viridiplantae; Streptophyta; Magnoliopsida; Poales; Poaceae. The record is from RNAcentral.
AUGGCAACACUUAAAGAUGUGGCAACGCGGAAGCCUAUUCUAGCGACAAUCCGCCUCCUAGUUCCUGCUGGAGCAGCCCGUCCCGCACCCCCUGUCGGACCAGCUCUGGGUUUCUACAGGCUCAAUCUGAUGGCUUUCUGCAAGGAUUUCAAUGCAAGGACACAGAAGUACAAGGCGGAAACUCCGAUGCAAGUCACGCUGACCGCCUACAAGGACAGCACUUUCGAGUUUGUAGUCAAGUCGCCAUCGGUCUCAUGGUUUCUCAAGAAAGCAGCGGGCGUCGAGACAGCAAGCAGCCGGCCAGGCCACAACAUGGUGACGUCCCUCUCACUUCGCCACGUCUACGAGAUCGCGAAGCUGAAGCAGACCGACCCGUUCUGCAAGCACAUGUCGCUCGAGGCCCUGUGCAAGUCCAUCAUCGGCACGGCCAAGUCAAUGGGCAUCGAAAUCGUCAAGGAUCUCUGA